AAAACGCAGAAAAUGGUUACUAUGAAUUGAUGAAUUAAUU
This 40-nucleotide non-coding RNA is filed under the name Trypanosoma brucei brucei. The record is from RNAcentral. Lineage: Eukaryota; Euglenozoa; Kinetoplastea; Trypanosomatida; Trypanosomatidae.